UGGGUAGUCCGCACGAGCGCACCCUGACUUUUAGUUGCCAGCACGUUAUGGUGGGGACUCUAAAAGGACUGCCAGGGUAUAACCUGGAGGAAGGUGGGGAUGACGUCAAGUCCGUAUGUCCCUUAUGUCCAGGGUCUACACACGUGUUACAAUGGCCGGUACAAUGGGUAGCCAACCCGCGAGGGGGAGCCAAUCUCAAAAAACCGGUCUUAGUUCGGAUUGGAGUCUGCAACUCGACUCCAUGCAAGUCGGAAUCGCUAGUAAUCGCGUAACAGCAUGACGCGGUGAAUACGUUCCCGGGCCUUGUACACACCGCCCGUCACGCCAUGGAAGUCGGUAUUACCCGAAGAUGGUGGCCCAACCCUUGGGAGGGAGCCAGCGAAGGUAGGACUGGUGACUGGGGCGAAGUCGUAACAAGGUAGCCGUAUCGGAAGGUGCGGCUGGAACACCUCCUUUCU
RNAcentral lists this ribosomal RNA (458 nucleotides) under uncultured delta proteobacterium. RNAcentral describes it as "bacterial SSU rRNA". It matches the Rfam family "Bacterial small subunit ribosomal RNA", at positions 1077 to 1533 of the family's 1533-position model. The record is from RNAcentral. Lineage: Bacteria; Deltaproteobacteria.